UACGUAGGUGGCAAGCGUUGUCCGGAAUUACUGGGUGUAAAGGGAGUGUAGGCGGGACUGCAAGUCCAGUGUUAAAUCUAUCGGCUUAACCGGUAGCCGCGCUGGAAACUGUGGUUCUUGAGUGAAGUAGAGGCAGGCGGAAUUCCUAGUGUAGCGGUGAAAUGCGUAGAUAUUAGGAGGAACACCAGUGGCGAAGGCGGCCUGCUGGGCUUUUACUGACGCUGAGGCUCGAAAGCGUGGGGAGCAAACAGGAUUAGAUACCC
Molecule: ribosomal RNA, 263 nt
Filed under: uncultured bacterium
Lineage: Bacteria
Description: partial 16S ribosomal RNA
Rfam family: Bacterial small subunit ribosomal RNA
Source: RNAcentral